This is a long non-coding RNA of Ornithorhynchus anatinus (platypus), 369 nucleotides long. RefSeq lists it as uncharacterized. The transcript is spliced from 3 exons. Lineage: Eukaryota; Metazoa; Chordata; Mammalia; Monotremata; Ornithorhynchidae. The record is from RefSeq and is a predicted model, not a curated record.
AUCUUCUAAUCAUCACAGGAGGGUCAUGGAAGACUGUUUCGGUCAGGUUCCCCAGAAACCCCACUCAGUCAGCCCCUGGUUCCUGUCAUACAGCAUACUGUCAACAUCUCAGAAGCUUCACGAUAGCAUGAGAAAGGCUGUUCACCUCAUGCUCAUAAGGAAAGAAAGGCAAAGGAACUGGAAAGGCAGCAGCCCUGAAAGUCUGGAAAUUCCACUGGCAUGAUCUAAAGUUGGGAAAGAACAGAGGCUCCAGCAUCCUGCAAACACAAGAGUUCCUGAAGCCAGUGCUGAACUUCUGCAAAAGCCACUCUGCUUUCCCAGUGCUAAGAACAAAGAUGUGGAUGUAAUAGUAAAUUUGUGAAAAAAAAC